Podarcis lilfordi (Lilford's wall lizard) is the source of this 75-nucleotide non-coding RNA. Lineage: Eukaryota; Metazoa; Chordata; Lepidosauria; Squamata; Lacertidae. The record is from the annotation of a GenBank genome assembly.
AGCCAGUGUGGUGUAGUGGUUAGAGCAUUGGACUAGGGCUUGGCAGAGACCAGGGUUCAAAUCCCUACUUGGCCG